This 5062-nucleotide long non-coding RNA is filed under the name Malus domestica (apple). RNAcentral describes it as "long non-coding RNA (MDOM_LNC017874)". Lineage: Eukaryota; Viridiplantae; Streptophyta; Magnoliopsida; Rosales; Rosaceae. The record is from RNAcentral.
AAGUUAUCAAUCAAGCAGUUAAGCAAAUUAAAUCACAACUCAGAAAUCACAACUGAAGGUAAUCAAUUCAUAUUACAAAUAUAUUCAUGGCUUUGAAUUAACCUCUAGCCAAAAUAAAUUUAGUUACACAUUAUUAAAACAUAAAUAAAAUAUAAGUUUGGAAAGAUUUAACCGAAAGAGGAGAGUGCUUCAGUGCUCUGUCUGUGCCCAGCGCCCUCUGUUUUCUGUGCGCACUGCUAAUCUCCCCCGAGGCUCACGCCUCCUCUGAUUGGAUACACGCUGCAAGGCAGCUUUUGAAUUCCUCUCCUUUCUUUCUCGCUGCCUAAGGCGGCUUGGUGCCUUUUGUUUUUCUCUGUGCCGAGGCUUCACGCUGCACCAGGCAGCUCUUCUUCUCCUCGUCCUUUUCUCCUCUUCUUCUUUUCUUUUUUUAUUCUUUUUCGCUGGUAGCUUUGCUGCUUCUUUUCCGUCCAUUAGCUUCUCUUUUCUUUCCUCCACCAUUCCUUUCUUUAUGUUUUUUUUUUUUUCAUCAUUCCAUGUCUCCCACUUAUUUAUUUUCUUAUUCUUCUUUCUCCGCGCACAGUCCGCAAGUCUCUCCCCUUCCUCUUUUAUUAUUCAAUUUCUUGAUAGUCCACUCCCUUCCUUUGUUUAAUGCCGUGUUGCACUCUGUCUUUUCUCUAUUCUUUUCUGCGUUUGAAAUUAAUCCUACAACAAAAUUAACUGUACAUUAACACAAAGUAAUGUAAAAUGUCACAAUUUUAACACAAAAACAUCCAAAGACUUUAGAAAUGAAUGAUAUAAAUGCAUGAAAUAUAUGAGUGAUCAAAUACCCCCAAACUUACAUUUUUGCUAGUCCUCUAGCAAAACAAAGAAAACAUGAAAAAGUAAUAACAUGAAAAAUAUUAGCUUCCCUCUAUGUGACCCUCAUAGAAUUUCAUUCAAGAAAACAAAUCAUCAAGAACCAUAGCUAGCAUCAAGGAACUAAUCCAAGUUCAUCUUCCUUAUUCAAUUAUUAGCAGUAAUCUUUGAAUCAUCCUUGAAGUGUAGUGUGUGAGAUAGCCAUGCUAAUGCAAUUUCAAAAUUUUAUAUUUUUAAAAUCAUCAUAUGCAAACUAGCAACCUUCUCACGGGAUAUACACUCAAUCACACAUGUGUUUAGUUUAAAUGUGUUUCGCUCAAAGAAUCAAAUGUGAAAUUUCUACCAUAAGCUUGCAUAAAGAUCUCAUCUCCACAAUCAUAAUUGCAAAACUUAAAUCAAGAGGACUUUUAUUGGAUGUAAUGAGGUUUAGGGAGAGGGUUAUUGAAAUGAAAGAAUAGGUAAACACAAGUUCCAAGCUACAUUGCAAGCAAUUCUUUUCUUUAGAUUUAUAAGAACUCAACCUUUCCAACGAUUCUUUUAGCACCUCCAACCACACCCUUAAACUGAAACUUGAACAACUUUUUAUUUUCUUUGUGUACAAUCUUUCUUUUUCUUUUUCUUUUCUUCUCUUUUCUCUUUUUUUUUUUUUUUAAAUACAAACAUGAAAUACCCCCACACUUAUUCUUUUGCCAAACACCUUCAAAGUACUUCAUAAACGUUUCUCAUAAGAAAAUCUCGCAUUGCUCGCUUGGAAAGGGUAAGGAAAAAUGUUUCAGGUAUAAGGGUAGACAUAUCUGGUGAUAAGAAAUAAAAGACUCAACAUACACGACUCAAAUUGGCAAUCUAAUGAUAUCAUUUUUCUUUGGGAAACAUGGUUAUUUGGGCCAUAGUGGUAAACCUAAUGCCUCUAUCAUUUCCAAAUUCAUGCAAUCAAUGACAAACCUUUCGACAGAUCGUUACGCAAGUUCUAGAGAUGUAUCUCACAUAAGUUCAUUACACAUGAAAGAAUAGGAGUGUAUGAAAAAUGCACACACUUUCAAUCGGCUCAAAAACUCACAUAGGAUGUAUAUGGUCACUAAAUUCACAUAUGAAGCUUUAAGCCAUACUUUAGUUUCACAUUAACAAGGCUAUGUGCAUUUGGUUUUUCAAAGAUGGUCAAACAUGUACAAAACUAACAAGAGAAUUAGGAAUUUCACAAAACACAUGUUAACUAAGUUCUUGAUAAUCAUGAUUCAAAUUUGAUCUAAUUAUAUCAUUGGGUCGGGAAACUAACAAAAAUCUAAUUCAAAACAAUAAGGGAAACAAGACAAUAUUUUUGGAUUUUUAAAUUUUCCGAUUUUUAAAAAAAAAUUUUUUUUAAAAGAAAACAAAAAGCAACAACAUGGAAACAAAUGAAACUCGUUCGUAGUUGAAGGUACAAAAAAAAUUUCAAUUUGGUCAUUUUUAUACUCUUUACCCCCAAACUUAAACUGGACAUUGUCCCCAAUGUCAGAAAACACUAUAAUGCAAAUAAAAAUAAAAUAAAUAAAUAAUAAGAAACAAAAUAAAGCAAUUGGACUGAAAACUUCCCUAGUUUGCAGUAAAACCAAGCGAUGACCCCCCAAGCUAAAAUUCUGCAAUCAACUUCAAGGGUGGAAAGAACCAAAAGUUCCUGCAAAGAAAAGAAAUAAUUCAGUUAAGUAACGCAAGAAAAUGUAAAAUUGAAAAUCACGAUAAAAGACAAUGAAUAGAACUAAUAAGUGAUCAUUGGUCGUGCUUAUUGACUUUCCACAGCUUUCCUCUUGAACGGGGUGACACUUAGCUUUUUACUUGCAAGUGAUGAUUUGAUGAUAUUGUACGGCGAGGCUUUGCUCUUUAGCAAUGUUGCAAUUCCUUAUUUGUUCUCCAAGCAGAUGUGGCAGCUUCUCUAGUUCUUCAUCUCAGACUCCUUCCGCUGGGAUGAUUGUGCAAGCUGCAUUCUUCUCUGCUUGUUUCUUCUGCACGACGGGCAGGCACGAGGUAAAGGUGUUGGUCUGUUUCUUUCUUCAAUCUUUCCAAGUGCCCACCUCUUGCUCUCUUUCUCCUUGUCCUUAGUUGAGGAUGAAUCAGCACGUUGUCUCCACAUGCUUCGAGGUAUCAUCUUCACUUCCCUUAUAAGUGAGAAACAAAGCGAAAGCAUAAGAUGAUGAGUACUCGAGAGCAAGAGCUGGCUAGAGAAAGGACAGGGAGAAAGCAUGAUAUGAGAUACUCUUGCUUUCAACCUUCAUGAUAUGAAAUACUUUUGCUUUGGAUGGGUUGUUUGCAGAGGUACCCCAAGGAAUAAGGAACACUGAGUGACUCGAGAGGGUGUGUUGGAAAUACAUUCUCGGAGAUGAAGAAGUGCUGAGAGGGUGUGCCUUUGCUGUGGAAGGCGAAGGUAGAUACUUAUAGGACUUUUCUUCACAACCGGAACUAUUCCCUCACUCAUUGUCGGCAGCCGGUGGAUGGAUGAAUAGUACAAAUUACGCGCUUUCUGACAAAGCUGCCCGUAAUUUUCGCAAAGCUGCCAGUUGCAUGUGACGAGUGACGACACGUCUGGACAAAUUGAUCUUUUGAAAUCCGGGGUUUGGCUCGUGGUUUCUGAGUAAGCCCAACUUUUAAGAAAUGAAACGCCUCUUUGAGAAAAGAAUCCGACUUUUGAGAAAGGAGCCCCGACUCUUCGAUUUGCGAGAGGACACUUCAACAAUUUCUGAGGAGCGCCUCUUUGAUUUCUUCUUUUUAUAGAGGCGUUAAUUUUGUUCCACAACACACUUGAGCUCCCUCCUGUAAACACUCCCCGGCAACGGCGCCAAAAAUUUGAUGCGUAAUAUAUAAGCAUACAAAUUAAACCCUCUUUUUAUCAAUUGUAGUAAAGUAUGUAAGUAGGGUAUCGUUCUAGGCCGGGGAUUAGGAGGGAUUGCUAAUCUAUUCUAAAUUAAUUUAGAAUUAUUAAACAAGACUCAAGGACACAAAACUAGGCUAAAAACUCUAAUAACUCGAAACACACUUAGAAUGACUCAAAAUAAUGAAAACAAUCAAAUUAGACACUAAGAACUGAAAUAGACGGAAAUUGAAUUAAAAGACUAACAACAAUGAAAACUAACUAAAUAAUAUAAUUUAAUAAUGGGGGGGGUUUGGUUUUGACCAGAAGUAAAUUAAACUUAAAUAAAUUACAGAAUUGACAAAAGCACGAAAUUAAGGUGAAAGGAUCGGUGGUGGACUAGCUAGAGGGUUCUUCUCCACACAUGACACAUAUGCAACCUAAAUUAAUUUUCAGUUGUUCUUUCAAUAAAUUGUAAAUCUCAAUACUUCAUAUUAACCGUGAACAGCACUUUUUUAAUCUUCAAGUUUUCCUUAAGUUAUUGAAUUGGACGGAAAAGCGCAUACAACAAUUCAAAACAUUCUUCAAAAGUCCCCUACGUGAAAAGCACAAUAGAGAUACAAUCAAAGAUCAUUAAACUUUGUGAAAACUAUAAGCAUGACGAGGCAUUCGUAACUAUGAAAAGCAUGAUACUCUUGCCAAGAAUUCACUUAACACGAUUGUGGAUAACAACCUUCACUACUCAUAAAUUCAUAACGAUUAGGUGAAAUUCACUUAUAUUCUAGCAUCAAAUUCAUGCAUGUAAAUUAAGUAUGCAUUCUUAAUCGACAUACAAAAAUAAGUUAUCAAUCAAGCAGUUAAGCAAAUUAAAUCACAACUCAUAAAUCACAACUGAAGGUAAUCAAUUCAUAUUACAAAUAUAUUCAUGGCUUUGAAUUAACCUCUAGCCAAAAUAAAUUUAGUUACACAUUAUUAAAACAGAAAUAAAAUAUAAGUUUGGAAAGAUUUAACCGAAAGAGGAGAGUGCUUCAGUGCUCUGUCUGCCCAGCGCCCUCUGUUUUCUGUGCGCACUGCUAAUCUCCCCCGAGGCUCACGCCUCCUCUGAUUGGAUACACGCUGCAAGGCAGCUUUUGAAUUCCUCUCCUUUCUUUCUCGCUGCCUAAGGCGGCUUGGUGCCUUUUGUUUUUCUCUGUGCCGAGGCUUCACGCUGCGCCAGGCAGCUCUUCUUCUCCUCGUCCUUUUCUCCUCUUCUUCUUUUCUUUUUUUAUUCUUUUUCGCUGAUAGCUUUGCUGCUUCUUUUCUUUUUUUGUCAUUCACAAUUGAUUGAAAGAACAACUGAAAAUCAAUUUAGGUUGCAUAUGUGUCAUGUGUGGAGAAGAACCCUCUAGC